This 342-nucleotide ribosomal RNA is filed under the name uncultured bacterium. RNAcentral's name for it is "bacterial SSU rRNA". It matches the Rfam family "Bacterial small subunit ribosomal RNA", at positions 1 to 334 of the family's 1533-position model. The record is from RNAcentral.
AGUAGACGUUCAGAGUUUGAUCCUGGCUCAGGAUGAACGCUAGCGGCAGGCUUAAUACAUACAAGUUGUGGGGCAGCAGGGUGUAGCAAUACAUUGCUGGCGACCGGCAAACGGGUGCGGAACACGUACACAACCUUCCUACAAGUGGGGCAUAGCCCAGAGAAAUUUGGAUUAAUACCCCGUAACAUAUAGAAAAGGCAUCUUUUUUAUAUUAUAGCUUCGGCGCUUGUUGAUGGGUGUGCGGCUGAUUAGAUAGUUGGCGAGGUAACGGCUCACCAAGUCUACGAUCAGUAGCUGAUGUGAGAGCAUGAUCAGCCACACGGGCACUGAGACACGGGCCCG